UACGGGGGGGGCAAGCGUUGUUCGGAAUUACUGGGCGUAAAGGGCUCGUAGGCGGCCAACUAAGUCGGAUGUGAAAUCCCCAGGCUCAACUUGGGAACUGCAUCCGAUACUGGAUGGCUUGAAUUCGGGAGAGGGAUGCAGAAUUCCAGGUGUAGCGGUGAAAUGCGUAGAUAUCUGGAGGAACACCGGUGGCGAAGGCGGCAUCCUGGACCGGUAUUGACGCUGAGGCGCGAAAGCUAGGGGAGCAAACGGG
RNAcentral lists this ribosomal RNA (253 nucleotides) under uncultured bacterium. RNAcentral's name for it is "partial 16S ribosomal RNA". It matches the Rfam family "Bacterial small subunit ribosomal RNA", at positions 524 to 776 of the family's 1533-position model. The record is from RNAcentral.